GCCGAAUAUCGACGCCGUGUCCCGUCAUUCGUGUGGCUUAUGUUACUGUUGCCUUUCAAGUGCUUGCGUACAGGUACCCGACCUACGGGAAGUGGUGCUUCAUACACAUUUGUCUCGCGGCGGACGCCUCCGGGUGUCCCGCUGCGGCCUAAUGGCGCUUGCGGCUUUGCCUCGUGGUGCUGUCACGUUUUCGUGCACGGUGCCAUCAAGGCAGCCUCGCUCGCGUUGUUGGUUUUGGAUGCUGCUAACGAUAAAGGCUCAUGGCCCUUUUGGUUGCCUAGACCCGAACCUAAUGAAGCUCUCUGGAUCAGAACGUGUCGUAGAACGGGGUGUUGCCUCUACCUCUCCACAGUUAGUGGUAGGAUACGCAACAUGCUGGGCCGAUGCUAGUAGGGGAAGGGGAGCUUGGCCCGCUCAAUUGCGACAACCGGCCUGGCUGUUGUCUGCUCGUAAGGGCGGAUGACUGCCGACGCUGGACGUCAAAGAGGACGUGCUACCUGGUUGAUCCUGCCAGUAGUC
This 519-nucleotide unclassified non-coding RNA is filed under the name Trisetopsis virescens. RNAcentral's name for it is "contains 3' external transcribed spacer, ETS". Lineage: Eukaryota; Viridiplantae; Streptophyta; Magnoliopsida; Poales; Poaceae. The record is from RNAcentral.